Quercus lobata is the source of this 2123-nucleotide RNA transcript. RefSeq lists it as uncharacterized. The transcript has 2 exons. The record is from RefSeq and is a predicted model, not a curated record. NCBI's taxonomy places the organism in Eukaryota, Viridiplantae, Streptophyta, Magnoliopsida, Fagales, Fagaceae.
CUCUACUUUUGAGGACACAAUUACCCUUGCACUCUCUUUUCUAUUUUGCAAGGAAGGUUGUUGUUAUGGUGCAAAGGCAAGCACAUGCACACACCCUCAGCUAUAUUAUGUGUCACCAGUGAGUCAAAGCUUUUCACGUGCCACAGGUUGCAGUUGCACAUAUACAGACUCACACGCUUUAGUUUCCUCAAGAUAUUUGUUUCUUAUCUCUAUAAAAACAAGGUUGGUCCUCACCGUAGAACACACCUCGAUCGUAUCGGUGGUCACUCAGAAUCAGGGUAUCACUGGCCUCAGGGACCAGAAGGUUUCUAAGGUGACAGUUCAACCAAGAUCGAAGCGUGUUCAGAUGGAGUAUUGGUGUGUGGAUCCAUGCUAUGCUUUGUCAAGUGAGUAGUCUUUUUGCGGAUUAACCUUUGCUUCGUUGUCUGUUCGACCUUGAACAUAUUAACCAGUCAGUUAAUUAACACUAUAGUCAGGAAAACCCUAAUCGAAAUCACUUUUUGUUUUGUAUUAUUUAUAGAAAGUGAACCAGUUUUUGGUUCCUACGCUUAUGAAUUUUCCCUAUAGAUGAAGUGAGUGUGAUUAGUAUCAUCAGCUUACAACUUUUUGGGGUUCGAGCUGAUAGCCCAAUGGUACUGACACCUCUCUGGUGCAAGGUGUCUAGGGUUCGAAUCCUUGAUGAUUAGCAGCAUGACCAGAGUAAAUAGUUCUGAUAUGCAUGUAUAUGCGUGAGACUAAAUAUAUGUAUUUUAUGUGUUACUGUUUCUUAGGUGAUUAGACACGCUUUGUAUGACUUACAGCUGCACUAGAAAUUAGUAAUAUUGUAAUUAAGGAAUACAAGGGGUUUAAUUACUUUGUUAAUAAUAAUAGAUAAUUCAUAUUUCCAAUGAUUUCAAUAUUUAGGAACAUACUUCUGUUAUUGGAUCAAUCAAAAUCAUAUAUAGAUUUUGAUAAAUGGGAGAAUAAGCUGCUGAUUCCCUUCUUGUAAUCAGAACAUUCAGAUGUUUUUGGAUAUCCAGAUUUGGCUGUGGUAGAAUAUCUAUGGAAACAGUUUUAGGUUUCGAUCCAUAUUAGUUGGAGGGUUAUGGGUUAAUAUUAGUGAUAUGGUGCAAAGCAAUCAAGGCAGUUUAAGGCAAGAAACUAGUAGCUCCAUCAUAGAAUAUUUAUGGUUAUCUAAUCUAUGGCACCUAUAUAUAAAUAUAUAUAUAUAUAUAUAUGUAUAUAUAUAUGUAUAUAUAUCAUAUGUACAUAAUUAAUCGUUUUAUCGACCAUAUUGUCUUAUCUAAUAUAUAUUUUGUAGUAAUAAAUGAAGGGUUAACAAGUAGUAGGUAUGGUAGAUAAAAAUGUGUGAACCGCAUAUUGAGUAGUAGGAAGGGUUGAAACCAAUCACGUGUUAGUGAUUUUACAUGGGUCUAUAGGAUAGCAAACCAUAAAAGAGAAAACCUAGGUACCUGCCCUAAUUUAAAAGAGAAAUCCUUUAUUCUUUUUAGUACACAAAGUUUGGAGGAAGAGUGUCAAUGAAGUUAGUUUAUAGGCAUUAAUCCCAAGGCUUACCUAAAUGAUUUGUUAGUAAACUCUAGGCUUUAAUUAGAGGAAUUCAUUUGUUGGCCUUGUGAACUUCUUUCUUAUUUCUAAAAAGGUGUAUAAGAGCAAUAAUGAGGAGUGUCUCUCUCUUCUCUUUUGUUCGUUUUACUAGGUUAAAACUUAAUAUCCAUUCAUCCAAAAAGACAAAAAGCAUUGAGUACUUUCAAGACUUAUCUUAUUUGGUAGGUUGAUUUUUCUAAAGGUCAUAUACAUUCUCAGUGGUAAAUAGAAUACGAUUACACAUGCAAAAUAUAUAAAAUCUCACUCUCUGUCUCUUACAUCAAUAUGUACAACAGAGAGAGACGAAUGUGGUUUGACUAGGUAGCAGAACCUCUGGCUGGUAGUAAAUGUGGAACUUCUAUGUGGGUGGAUACUAGCUCAUAACCCACCAGAAGAGUUGAAGGACAGACCAGUUGACCGAACACACGAGUACACACACCUUCCCUCUUCCACCUAAGAAAUAAAUAGAGAGCAAUAUUAUGUAUAGUUGUAUACCGUGCAACUAAUUUUCAUUAACUAUUUAGAGUGGAAACUUUUAA